UACGUAGGAUGCAAGCGUUAAUCGGAAUUACUGGGCGUAAAGCGUGCGCAGGCGGUCUGCUAAGAGAGGUGUGAAAUCCCCGGGCUUAACCUGGGAACUGCGCUUCUAACUGGCAGGCUAGAGUGUGGCAGAGGGGGGUGGAAUUCCACGUGUAGCAGUGAAAUGCGUAGAGAUGUGGAGGAACACCGAUGGCGAAGGCAGCCCCCUGGGCUAACACUGACGCUCAUGCACGAAAGCGUGGGGAGCAAACAGG
This 253-nucleotide ribosomal RNA is filed under the name uncultured bacterium. RNAcentral's name for it is "partial 16S ribosomal RNA". It matches the Rfam family "Bacterial small subunit ribosomal RNA", at positions 524 to 776 of the family's 1533-position model. The record is from RNAcentral.